UACGGAGGGGGCUAGCGUUGUUCGGAAUUACUGGGCGUAAAGCGCACGUAGGCGGCUUUGUAAGUUAGAGGUGAAAGCCCGGGCUCAACUCCGGAAUUGCCUUUAAGACUGCAUCGCUAGAAUUGUGGAGAGGUAAGUGGAAUUCCGAGUGUAGAGGUGAAAUUCGUAGAUAUUCGGAAGAACACCAGUGGCGAAGGCGACUUACUGGACACAUAUUGACGCUGAGGUGCGAAAGCGUGGGAGCAAACAGG
This 251-nucleotide ribosomal RNA is filed under the name uncultured bacterium. RNAcentral's name for it is "partial 16S ribosomal RNA". It matches the Rfam family "Bacterial small subunit ribosomal RNA", at positions 524 to 776 of the family's 1533-position model. The record is from RNAcentral.